CCCUUUUUAAAAGCACUCAGUGGGUCUUUCACUAAUGACCAUUGAGCAGUCAAGAAGGGGCAGAGAAAAAGUACCACUUAGGUGAGAAGUGGCAGCAUGUUGUGCUGUUUUGCUUCAACUGGUGAUGUGAUAAGA
This is a small nucleolar RNA of Lepus europaeus (European hare), 135 nucleotides long. The record is from RefSeq and is a predicted model, not a curated record. Lineage: Eukaryota; Metazoa; Chordata; Mammalia; Lagomorpha; Leporidae.